AGAUCCGUACAAGUCUUGGUCCGCCCCUUGCCACAAUGGAUUUCCUGACCCUUUAUGUUUGGUUUCUAUCGCAGCUCCUGGCCAUUCGUCUUAUUAACACGCCGUACAUUCUCCUCACUCUCCUGUGUCGAGCUUUUUUUUUCUUCGCUUGCAAGUUCGGGGUUGAUAAUUUCAUCGAGUACAUCAUUCAGCCCCCUCCUCCCAUACAAGUGACGUUCCAGAACCGAUUAUUUUCAACGAACGCUGUUCUGAUGCUGGGGCCACCGCGGGUGAUGCCGUUUGUCAUCAUCCCACCUGGGGGGCUGAGGCCGCCACCAAUCCCGCCCCCACCCCGACCCAGACAGCCGGUACCGCCUCCGUUCACGCGAAGGCCUCAUGUACGGACUACCAAGUCAUAAUUAGACGUAGGCGUAUGGUUCAGCUUUAGGGGAGUACUGUCAUCGAAGAGGUUUGUUUAUUGAUACAGAGAAAUGGUGUCCUUUUGGGUGUUGCGGCAAUUAUGACUAUGAGUACUGCUGCAUUGGCAAUGUUGGAUACAUCGUAGGAAUUGUUUAUCGCCGGCC
Molecule: long non-coding RNA, 563 nt
Organism: Physella acuta
Lineage: Eukaryota; Metazoa; Mollusca; Gastropoda; Physidae
Source: RefSeq, a predicted model, not a curated record